RNAcentral lists this non-coding RNA (120 nucleotides) under Thalassiosira minuscula. The record is from RNAcentral. Lineage: Eukaryota; Bacillariophyta; Thalassiosirophyceae; Thalassiosirales; Thalassiosiraceae.
CAGUUGUAUGAUGUAAUGCUCAGGUUGGCUCCUAAUAAACCUGAAAUGCACCAGAAGCGGUGCAAACGGGAAACAGAAAAAUUGAAACGCUGUGAACCAAGCGUUCGAGAACCCGAUUUA